AGCCGCUUUCCGCAACAUCAAAACCAUCGCCGAGUGUUUGGCCGACGAACUCAUCAACGCCGCCAAGGGUUCUUCCAACUCCUACGCCAUCAAGAAGAAGGAUGAACUGGAGCGCGUGGCCAAGUCCAACCGUUAAAGAGCCACUGUUGUCACCCGCCCCCCCCAAUAAAAUUCACUUGCUCUGUGU
Egretta garzetta (little egret) is the source of this 187-nucleotide long non-coding RNA. RefSeq lists it as uncharacterized. The record is from RefSeq and is a predicted model, not a curated record. The transcript is spliced from 2 exons. Lineage: Eukaryota; Metazoa; Chordata; Aves; Pelecaniformes; Ardeidae.